CACGUAGGGGACGAGCGUUGUCCGGAUUCAUUGGGCGUAAAGCGCGCGUAGGCGGCUCGGAAAGUCGGGCGUGAAAUGCCGGGGCUCAACCCCGGGACUGCGUCCGAUACUUCCGAGCUGGAGGUAGGUAGGGGAGAUCGGAAUUCCUGGUGUAGCAGUGAAAUGCGCAGAUAUCAGGAGGAACACCGGUGGCGAAGGCGGAUCUCUGGGCCUUACCUGACGCUGAGGCGCGAAAGCUAGGGGAGCGAACAGG
This 253-nucleotide ribosomal RNA is filed under the name uncultured bacterium. RNAcentral describes it as "partial 16S ribosomal RNA". It matches the Rfam family "Bacterial small subunit ribosomal RNA", at positions 524 to 776 of the family's 1533-position model. The record is from RNAcentral.